UUCCCCACAGGGCUGAUGGCGGCCGUGACGUUGGACGAGUCCGGGGGCGGCCUCCAGACGCCCGGAGGAGGGCUCAGCCUCGUCUGCAAGGCCUCCGGGUUCACCUUCAGCAGUUACGACAUGGCCUGGGUGCAACAGGAGCCCAGCAAAGGGCUGGAACACGUCGCAAGUAUUAGCAGUGAUGGUAGUGACACAGCAUAUGGGGCGGCGGUGAAGGGCCGUGCCACCAUCUCGAGGGACAACGGGCAGAGCACAGUGAGGCUGCAGCUGAACAACCUCAGGGCUGAGGACACCGCCACCUACUACUGCACGAAAUGUGCUUACAGUAGUGGUUGUGAUUAUGAAGCUGGUGGUAUCGACGCUGCUCCAGGAUUGUGUGAUGUCCUCCAACGCCCAGAUGGACGGAUCAGAACUCCACUUCUUUGUCCCAGCACACAGCUCUGCAUCCCAGGGGGAACCUUCCCGAAGCAGAUGAACUCGUGUCCCUGUGCCGUCCAUGUCACCAGCAUAGUAAACACAGUAAGCACACCACAAUCGUGA
Molecule: non-coding RNA, 540 nt
Organism: Gallus gallus (chicken)
Lineage: Eukaryota; Metazoa; Chordata; Aves; Galliformes; Phasianidae
Source: the annotation of a RefSeq genome assembly